GGGGGUAUAUCUCAAUUGGUAGAGUAUCUGUUUUGCAGUCAGAAGAUUAUCGGUUCGACCCCGAUUACCUCCA
Molecule: transfer RNA, 73 nt
Filed under: Candidatus Nasuia deltocephalincola
Lineage: Bacteria; Pseudomonadati; Pseudomonadota; Betaproteobacteria
Description: Candidatus Nasuia deltocephalinicola tRNA-Ala
Rfam family: tRNA
About the family: Transfer RNA (tRNA) molecules are approximately 80 nucleotides in length. Their secondary structure includes four short double-helical elements and three loops (D, anti-codon, and T loops).
Source: RNAcentral